This 775-nucleotide ribosomal RNA is filed under the name uncultured Neocallimastigales. RNAcentral describes it as "partial large subunit ribosomal RNA". It matches the Rfam family "Eukaryotic large subunit ribosomal RNA", at positions 23 to 620 of the family's 3401-position model. The record is from RNAcentral. Lineage: Eukaryota; Fungi; Neocallimastigomycota; Neocallimastigomycetes; Neocallimastigales.
AGAGAGAGACAUGCGCGCAUAUCAAUAAGCGGAGGAAAAGAAACUAACAAGGAUUCCCUUAGUAACGGCGAGUGAAGCGGGAAGAGCUCAAAUUUGAAAUCUUCAAGGUUUUACCUUGACGAAUUGUAGUUUAAAGAAGUGUUUUCUGCUGAAGUUUUGGUAAAAGUUCUUUGGAAUAGGACAUCAUAGAGGGUGAGAAUCCCGUAUUUGACCAUUAUUUUCAGCUUUGUGAUACACUUUCAAAGAGUCGGAUUGUUUGGGAAUGCAGUCCAAAAUGGGUGGUAAAUUUCAUCUAAAGCUAAAUAUUGGCGAGAGACCGAUAGCGAACAAGUACCGUGAGGGAAAGAUGAAAAGAACUUCGAAAAGAGAGUUAAACAGUACGUGAAAUUGUCAAAAGGGAAGCGUUUGACACCAGUGUUGUUUUCUCGAAAAUCAAUUAAAAAUGGCUCGAUUUUGUAUUGCUUGAGACCUUAAAAGCUCACUGUACAUUUUUCGUGUCUUUUUUAAUGCACUUUUCGUUUAACAAGUCAACAUCAGUUUCUUUUGUUGUAAAAGGGUCAUUGGAAGGUGGCUUUCUUUUCGGAGAAAGUGUUUAUAGCCUUUGGCCUCUGCAAUCGGAGAGACUGAGGUCUGCAGCGUAGACUCUUCGGGGUUAGAUACAUUUGUGCUAAGUUAUAGCUUUUUAUAGACAACUUGUUGACUAUAAUUAGUCUUGUAGCUUACUCGCUUAUGCUAUUUUACCUACGCUUAGGAUGUUGAAGAUGUAGCACAUCAU